GUCCACGCCCUAAACGAUGAUGACUAGUUGUUGGAGGAGUUAAAUCCUUUAGUAACGCAGCUAACGCGAGAAGUCAUCCGCCUGGGGAGUACGGUCGCAAGAUUAAACUCAAGGAAUUGACGGGGCCCGCACAAGCGGUGGAUGAUGUGGUUCAAUUCGACGCAACGCGAAACCUUACCUACCCUUGACAUGUACGGAAUCCUGCAGAGAUGCAGGAGUGCCCGAAAGGGAGCCGUAACACAGGUGCUGCAUGGCUGUCGU
This 261-nucleotide ribosomal RNA is filed under the name uncultured bacterium. Its description in RNAcentral is "partial 16S ribosomal RNA". It matches the Rfam family "Bacterial small subunit ribosomal RNA", at positions 793 to 1055 of the family's 1533-position model. The record is from RNAcentral.